RNAcentral lists this ribosomal RNA (367 nucleotides) under uncultured bacterium. Its description in RNAcentral is "partial 16S ribosomal RNA". It matches the Rfam family "Bacterial small subunit ribosomal RNA", at positions 338 to 702 of the family's 1533-position model. The record is from RNAcentral.
CCUACGGGCGGCAGCAGUGAGGAAUAUUGGUCAAUGGGAGGAAUCCUGAACCAGCCAUGCCGCGUGCAGGACGACGGCUCUACGAGUUGUAAACUGCUUUUGUACCGGGGUAAAAUGCCUUACGUGUAGGGUUUUGAAAGUACGGUACGAAUAAGGAUCGGCUAACUCCGUGCCAGCAGCCGCGGUAAUACGGAGGAGCCGAGCGUUAUCCGGAUCCAUUGGGUUUAAAGGGUGCGUCGGUUGUUUUAUAAGUUAGCGGUGAAAUACCGAUGCUCAACAUCGGGGCUGCCGCUAAUACUGUAGGCCUAGAGCUCGGCUGCAGCAGGCGUAAUGUGUAGUGUAGCGGUGAACUGCAUAGCUAUUACAC